CCUACGGGAGGCAGCAGUGAGGAAUAUUGGUCAAUGGACGCAAGUCUGAACCAGCCAUGCCGCGUGCAGGAAGACGGCUCUAUGAGUUGUAAACUGCUUUUGUACGAGGGUAAACGCAGAUACGCGUAUCUUUCUGAAAGUAUCGUACGAAUAAGGAUCGGCUAACUCCGUGCCAGCAGCCGCGGUAAUACGGAGGAUUCAAGCGUUAUCCGGAUUUAUUGGGUUUAAGGGGUGCGUAGGCGGUCGGAUAAGUUAGAGGUGAAAUCCCGAGGCUCAACUUCGGAAUUGCAUCUGAAACUGUUAGGCUAGAGAGUAGUUGCGGUAGGCGGAAUGUAUGGUGUAGCGGUGAAAUGCUUAGAGAUCAUACAGAACACCGAUUGCGAAGGCAGCUUACCAAGCUACGUCUGACGUUGAGGCACGAAAGCGUGGGGAGCAAACAGGAUUAGAUACCCCAGUAGUC
RNAcentral lists this ribosomal RNA (460 nucleotides) under uncultured bacterium. Its description in RNAcentral is "partial 16S ribosomal RNA". It matches the Rfam family "Bacterial small subunit ribosomal RNA", at positions 338 to 795 of the family's 1533-position model. The record is from RNAcentral.